This 434-nucleotide ribosomal RNA is filed under the name uncultured Acidobacteriota bacterium. RNAcentral's name for it is "bacterial SSU rRNA". It matches the Rfam family "Bacterial small subunit ribosomal RNA", at positions 930 to 1497 of the family's 1533-position model. The record is from RNAcentral. Lineage: Bacteria; Pseudomonadati; Acidobacteriota.
CGGUGGAGCAUGUGGUUUAAUUCGACGCAACGCGAAGAACCUUACCUGGGCUAGGAUGCCUCUGACAACCUUAGAGAUAGCCUUGGACCCAGAUCAAGGUGUGACGAGCGCAACCCUUAUCAAUAGUUGCCAGCGGGAUGUCAAGUCUCAUGGCCCUUAUGGGUAGGCUACAUACAUGGCGGAUACAAGGGUUGCCAACCCGCGAGGGGGAGCCUCCCAGAAAGUCCGUCGUAGUCCGGAUUGGAGUGCAACCCGACUCCAUGAAGUCGGAAUCGCUAGUAAUCGGGAUCAGCAUGUCGCGGUGAAUACGUUCCCGGGCCUUGUACACACCGCCGUCACACCAUGGGAGUGGGUUUCACCAGAAGCAGGUUGCCUAACCGCAAGGAGGGCGCCUACCACGUGAGAUUCAUGACUGGGGUGAAGUCGUACAAGGU